UUUUAUCUUGUAUUAUUCAACAGGCUACAGUUCUUAGCAGGAGAGAGAGCGAGGAGUUGUCAGGAAAGCUGCAGGUUACUUUGAGACAGUCGUCCCAAAUGCAUUAGAAGAACUGUAAAAAUCUGCCACAGAAGGAGCGAUGAUCCAUAGUCAGAAAAGUUACUGCAGCUUAAACAGGAAACCCUUCUUGUUCAGGACUGUCAUAGCCACAGUUUGCAAAAAGUACAGCUAUUGAUUAAUGCAAUGUAGUGUCAAUUAGAUGUACAUUCCUGAGGUCUUUUAUCUGUUGUAGCUUUUUCUUUUCAUUACAUCAGGUAUAUUGCCCUGUAAAUUGUGGUAGUGGUACCAGGAAUAAAAAAUUAAGGAAUUUUUAACUUUU
Cebus imitator (Panamanian white-faced capuchin) is the source of this 379-nucleotide long non-coding RNA. RefSeq lists it as uncharacterized. The transcript is spliced from 4 exons. The record is from RefSeq and is a predicted model, not a curated record. Lineage: Eukaryota; Metazoa; Chordata; Mammalia; Primates; Cebidae.